GUCUCUGUGGUGUAAUCGGUUAGCGCGUUCGGCUGUUAACUGAAAGGUUGGUGGUUCAAGCCCACCCAGGUACG
This 74-nucleotide transfer RNA is filed under the name Danio rerio (zebrafish). It matches the Rfam family "tRNA". From Rfam's summary of the family: Transfer RNA (tRNA) molecules are approximately 80 nucleotides in length. Their secondary structure includes four short double-helical elements and three loops (D, anti-codon, and T loops). Further hydrogen bonds mediate the characteristic L-shaped molecular structure. tRNAs have two regions of fundamental functional importance: the anti-codon, which is responsible for specific mRNA codon recognition, and the 3' end, to which the tRNAs corresponding amino acid is attached (by aminoacyl-tRNA synthetases). tRNAs cope with the degeneracy of the genetic code in two manners: having more than one tRNA (with a specific anti-codon) for a particular amino acid; and 'wobble' base-pairing, i.e. permitting non-standard base-pairing at the 3rd anti-codon position. Lineage: Eukaryota; Metazoa; Chordata; Actinopteri; Cypriniformes; Danionidae. The record is from Rfam by way of RNAcentral.